AGAACGAACGCUGGCGGCAGGCCUAAUACAUGCAAGUCGAACGCACUCUUCGGAGUGAGUGGCAGACGGGUGAGUAACGCGUGGGAACCUUCCCAAUGGUACGGAAUAACUCCGGGAAACCGGUGCUAAUACCGUAUAAGCCCCUCGGGGGAAAGAUUUAUCGCCAUUGGAUGGGCCCGCGUCGGAUCAGCUAGUUGGUAAGGUAAUGGCUUACCAAGGCUACGAUCCGUAGCUGGUCUGAGAGGAUGAUCAGCCACACUGGGACUGAGACACGGCCCAGACUCCUACGGGAGGCAGCAGUAGGGAAUCUUGGACAAUGGGGCAACCCUGAUCCAGCCAUGCCGCGUGAGCGAUGAAGGCCCUAGGGUUGUAAAGCUCUUUCACCCGUGAAGAUAAUGACGGUAGCGGGAGAAGAAGCCCGGCUAACUCCGUGCCAGCAGCCGC
RNAcentral lists this ribosomal RNA (444 nucleotides) under uncultured bacterium. RNAcentral describes it as "SSU rRNA". It matches the Rfam family "Bacterial small subunit ribosomal RNA", at positions 26 to 518 of the family's 1533-position model. The record is from RNAcentral.